Molecule: ribosomal RNA, 700 nt
Filed under: Ochrobactrum sp. C3-10
Lineage: Bacteria; Pseudomonadati; Pseudomonadota; Alphaproteobacteria; Hyphomicrobiales; Brucellaceae
Description: bacterial SSU rRNA
Rfam family: Bacterial small subunit ribosomal RNA
Source: RNAcentral
GUUCAUGCGUCAGCUACACAUGCAGUCGAGCGCCCCGCAAGGGGAGCGGCAGACGGGUGAGUAACGCGUGGGAACGUACCAUUUGCUACGGAAUAACUCAGGGAAACUUGUGCUAAUACCGUAUGAGCCCUUCGGGGGAAAGAUUUAUCGGCAAAUGAUCGGCCCGCGUUGGAUUAGCUAGUUGGUGGGGUAAAGGCCUACCAAGGCGACGAUCCAUAGCUGGUCUGAGAGGAUGAUCAGCCACACUGGGACUGAGACACGGCCCAGACUCCUACGGGAGGCAGCAGUGGGGAAUAUUGGACAAUGGGCGCAAGCCUGAUCCAGCCAUGCCGCGUGAGUGAUGAAGGCCCUAGGGUUGUAAAGCUCUUUCACCGGUGAAGAUAAUGACGGUAACCGGAGAAGAAGCCCCGGCUAACUUCGUGCCAGCAGCCGCGGUAAUACGAAGGGGGCUAGCGUUGUUCGGAUUUACUGGGCGUAAAGCGCACGUAGGCGGGCUAAUAAGUCAGGGGUGAAAUCCCGGGGCUCAACCCCGGAACUGCCUUUGAUACUGUUAGUCUUGAGUAUGGUAGAGGUGAGUGGAAUUCCGAGUGUAGAGGUGAAAUUCGUAGAUAUUCGGAGGAACACCAGUGGCGAAGGCGGCUCACUGGACCAUUACUGACGCUGAGGUGCGAAAGCGUGGGGAGCAAACGCGCCCCGCAAG